UGGAGAAGCAUUUGGAGUGUGAGAGGCCUUUUAGAAGAAGGUAUGGGUUGGAGGGUAGGUAAUGGCAAGUCCAUCCUCAUCUAGAAUGAGGAAUGGCUUCCGGGACCUAGGCAAGGGAAAAGUACUGAUCAAGACAUUAAUGUUAACUUUACAACAAUAACAGAUUUGAUCAAUUCAGACCAUUCUACCUGGAGGUUGGAAGUCCUCGAGAAGCUAUUCGACGAAGACCAGAAAAAUAGGAUAAUGACCAUCCUAGUUGUAGGUGUCGAUAUCAUGGACGUUAGAGUUUGGAAGGGGGACAAUACAAGUGAGUACACAGCAAAAAAUAGGUACAAAUGGUUACUUACAGAAGAUACAACAACAAGGGAUGCAACGCUAUCACAAACAACUCUAUAUAAUUUUUACAACAGACUAUGGAAUUUACAACUGACAAGCAAGAUUAAAUUUACAUUAUGGAAAGUAAUAAACAAUUACAUUCCUACUUUCAACAAUUUACAAGCCAGAAGGCUAAUGGUGACGACUAUUAGUCUUUUUUGUUGAUCAAUGAAGGAUUUAGUGAAUUAUAUUUUCUGGGAAUGUCUGAUUUCCAAAAGCAUUCUGCAAGAGGUGGGGAUAGAAACCUCUCCUAACACCCAUGGCCAAAACUGGAAAAUCUGGUUAGCAAAUGUUUUCACCAACAUGGAAGAAGAACAAAGAGAAUAUUUAGCUAUUGCUUUAUGGGUGAUUUGGUAGAAAAGAAAUAAAAUCCACCAUCAGGGCGAAAAGAUGAAUACAGACAGGGUAAUAACAUUUAUCAAAGCAUACAAGGCAGAGAGUACCAGUACAGUAAAAGAAAUAGCAACAUCUGCAGGGUUAUAUAACAGUAUGUGGUCACCACCAAGAGCAAACACGAUCAAAUGCAAUUUUGACGCAGCUUACAACAAUUAUUUGCUUAAAUUAGUUAUGGGAAUCAUGUUCAGAGAUAGUGAAGGACUUAUUUUGGCACUGUGUACUUACCACAACCCCUUUAACACAGACACUACCACGAUGGAAGUGAAAACAUGCCUCCAAGCAGUGACGGUGGCUGAGGCUCCAAGCAGUGACGGUGGCUGAGGAGUUGGGCUUUUGAAAUCUGACAGUAGAAGGGGAUUCUUUGACUGUAAUAAAAAAAAUUGAGCAUCAAAGUUGGAUAAAUCGAACAUAGUAGUGAUAGUUCAUAAAAUAAAAGAAAGAACGCGCAGAUUUGAAACUUUUACAUGCUCUUUCGUGGGACGAUCAGCGAACCAGGCAACGCAUGAGAUGGUUGAAAAAGGCAAGAAAUGGCCAGAUCAAAGGGUAUGGAUUGAGGAGGCCCCUCACAGGGUGGAAAUGAUACUCAGAAAGGAUAGAAGGCCACUGAACGACGGAUGGAAUGGAUCGGAGGAAUAAAUCAUUUAAAAACUCUGACGGUUUCUACUUCGACAAGGACCUAUCGCGGACGAUUUUGGUAUAGACCGACAAAAGAUGGAAUGAUGGUGGUAGACGAGAAGUGUUGAUCAGGCAUUUAAAUUGCGGUCGCGGUCGUGUUUUCGGUCGCGUUGCAUUUAUUGCGAUUACGAACAUAACGGAUGCUAUUGCAGUCAUUGCGGGUAUCGCGGUCGUGAAUUUUAAAAAAAAAUUCACAAAACUUAUUAUAAAAUAUAAUAGCAGUUUUCGCAGUAACGGUUUCGGAUAGUGCCGAUACCGCUAUAUAACGGUCACUAUUUCGAUAACGGACUGCUAUUUAAAUCCCUGGUGUUGAUUACAAGACAAGUGAAGCUACUGGGUUUUCUCAGAUUUUUGGAGUAAUUUGGGUUUAGUCUCGAUGUUUAUUUUACUGUUUUGAUUUUUC
RNAcentral lists this long non-coding RNA (1849 nucleotides) under Gossypium barbadense (sea-island cotton). Its description in RNAcentral is "long non-coding RNA (GBAR_LNC014959)". Lineage: Eukaryota; Viridiplantae; Streptophyta; Magnoliopsida; Malvales; Malvaceae. The record is from RNAcentral.